Papaver somniferum (opium poppy) is the source of this 2781-nucleotide long non-coding RNA. RefSeq lists it as uncharacterized. The transcript has 4 exons. Lineage: Eukaryota; Viridiplantae; Streptophyta; Magnoliopsida; Ranunculales; Papaveraceae. The record is from RefSeq and is a predicted model, not a curated record.
GCACGUAUUUUUCGUCUCCCGCACGUAGUUUUGACAGGCACCGUUGGAUUUUCUUCAUCUUCACACUAAAGACGUUCGAUUCAACUACUCUGCUAAUUACAUUUCUGUUCCUUUUCUUCUGUAGUUCUCCUCACUCGAUCUCACAGCAAGAAAUCAUCAACUCCUCCAUUAACACAUGUCUGGAAAAAAACCCUAGAACUCAAAUUAGAGCUUGGUUUCAAAAAUAAAUCAGAUGUUUUCUCGAUCGAUUUUCAGAUGAUGAUAAUGGUUCCGAAAUAAUAUAAUUGAUGACAAAUUAGGUUGUGGUGUGAUUCUCACUUUCUUCUUCUCCCUCACAAAGUAAACAUUGAGGAGGAAGAGGAAGAGAAAAUUUGUUGCACUGUUUCAUCCGUGUAGGAAGGACUUCCACAGGGCUGAGAAUUUCUGUUCUUUGAGAUCCACAUAUGAAGACUUCUUUGAGAACAACAUUUCUCGCUGCGGCUUCCCAAAAUCCAAGAAUGCAACAAUAACCAUGCAUUGCACUUGCCGUUAGUCCUGUUCUGAAAUAAUCUUUGGUUGUGACCGGGAACGAAUUUAUGAAACUGUGAUGUCCAUUGCUCUUCUUUCCAUGAGACCGUAUAAAGCUGGAAUAAGUGGCAAUGAAAGACGUAAUGCAUAUUAUAUGCAGAUGUAUACAUUUAUUCUUGAAAAUGCCUGCGAAGUUGGAACUAAUAUAUUCACCAAACAAACUCGGUACUCAUGUCUCACCAAAUCCCCUCCAGUUGAACAGAUACAUGAAGUGAAGUCUUUUGGUGUGGCCGAUCGCGGGAGAGUUGGCGUUAUGGAAGCAACUUGCUGAUUGGAUUCACUUCUUUUUUCUUUCUUUCUUCUUAUACCGAGGUUAUGUUUUAAUUAUUGGCAUCCAGUUCCGUUAGGUUUUCCAUACGGUGGAUUCAGUUUCUAUGAAAGGUGACAGAAAAACUUAUCUAAUUUGGCAAUUGGGUGUUUCUUAUCUUGCUGAACAAUCUGCUUUUGCAUUUUAAUUCACUACUAAUUUUUAUGUAAGAGAGAAACAAUAUUGGCUAACAAGGGUAGCAGAGUGUCAUUAUUCAGCAAACAUGGAAGAUGAGUGUGAAAAAAUGAUGGUUUGCCGACGUGCAACGCACGUGCACUCCACUUGUGCACAUUAAGGUCAUUAAUGUACUUGGGCAUAAAUAAGCAUUCAGUCUUCCUGAAUUAUCUUUUUACAUUAUUUCCUGUUACAAUUCUAUUGCAGGUGUUUACUGCAGAAUAUUCUCUGAUAUGCAAAAUCUCUGACUUCAAAGUGCCAUAUAUUUCCUUUAGGGAUGGAAUAAUAAUGGGUUUUGGAAUUGGUUUAUUUGGGCAUGGUCGCUAUCCUGUCAUCACUGAGGUAGUCUUGUUUGCCUGACAGAGUCAUAUACAUAGAGCAAUUAGAUUCUUUAUUACAUGUUUCCCGUUUCCGUUUCGAGUGGGUUCUUAGAUCGACUUUUAAAAAGACACGCUCUAAAGCACCGGUCAUGUUUGCUCCAAAUGGGGGUGCUCCACAUCCUAAAUAUUUUUGUGGGCGACCUCACAAAGUACUGGUCUUUGAAUCAUCCGCAUAUGAGCGCCUCCACAAGGCUGAGUUUUCUAAAUACUUCUUGACCAGUUAAUAAAAAGCUUUUUAAAAAAAAAAUCUUGCUUUUUGUCCAAAUAUUUUGUUACUGGCACUCCAACAUGUUAUGUUAUUGUGCCUUUCUUAGCAUACAGUUUCGAUGCUUGAAAAUGGUAUUAGCUUGUUCCCAGAUGUUGGCUUUUCUUACAUAGCAGCAAAAGGUCCAGGUGGAUGAUCAGUGGAGUAUGCCUGCAUCACUUCACAGUUCACAGUAUCACUUUCUCAUUCAUUUGUUUGACUGCCAUGAUCUCUAGAUUUAUAUUCUGAAUCUUCUAGAACUACAUGCAUCAUGUAUUGGCGUAUCGUUGUUGUUUGAUCAUCUUUGAAUAAGUCUUUAUCAUGCUUUGGCAAACUUUUAGCAUGAAAAUCAUUAUGAUAUUACUAAGUAAAUAAUUGUAUUAUUAUAUUCCUGAACCAUAUGUAACCCAUGAUGAUGUCCGUAUGCCUUCAGAUAACGCUUUCUGUAGUCUUGGAUUCUUUGACAUUUGUUACUGUGCUCCUCAAGGAUGGUUUGACUGACUGUUGUCGCAUGCUAGCUAGCUGCCCUUGUAUACUUUGGUCCCCACUCCAUACAACUAUGACUUUCAUUUCUUUGUUUAGUACUCGUUGGUUUAGCAUUUGCAUCUAUCGUUUCCAGCUGCUUUACCAUGUUUGUGUUUUUGAUUGUCUGUACUGUCUUUGACCAAGCAUACCAGUGCUGACUCUCAACCGUCACGUUAUCUUGUAUACGGGAAUCAGUCAUUGAGAUAAUUGAAGAGCUGAAGAAGCUUCAACAGAGUACUGAUGCUACAGGUGCGGUGGAUUAUAGUAUCUUCUCCUUGGGUAGAUAUUCCUUUCUCUUGCUACGUUUUUGUGAAUGAACAGGUGAGCGAGUCAGGUAUUUCCCAAGGAUUUAGAUGCUACCCAGCAGCAACGUUAGAUCCUGAAUAUGCAGAAGCCAUGGCAUUAUUGUAAUCCAUCAAGUGAGCAUUGGAAAAAAACUGUACACAUAUAUAUCUGGAGAAUGACUGCAAAGUCUAGUCAUAGACGGUUUAAAUUUCGGCUAAUGUUAACUUGUAUACCAGGGCAUACGUUGAGCAUUGAUAUUUUGUAUAGAUUGUAUCAAAUUUUUGUCUUGGAUUUCUGCA